UGGGGAAUAUUGCACAAUGGGGGAAACCCUGAUGCAGCGACGCCGCGUGAACGAAGAAGGUAUUCGUAUCGUAAAGUUCUGUCCUAUGGGAAGAUAAUGACAGUACCAUAGAAGAAAGCUCCGGCUAAAUACGUGCCAGCAGCCGCGGUAAUACGUAUGGAGCGAGCGUUGUCCGGAAUUAUUGGGCGUAAAGGGUACGCAGGCGGUUUAAUAAGUCGAAUGUUAAAGAUCGGGGCUCAACCCCGCAAAGCAUUGGAAACUGAUAAACUUGAGUAGUGGAGAGGAAAGUGGAAUUCCUAGUGUAGUGGUGAAAUACGUAGAUAUUAGGAGGAAUACCAGUAGCGAAGGCGACUUUCUGGACACAAACUGACGCUGAGGUACGAAAGCGCGGGGAGCAAACAGG
Molecule: ribosomal RNA, 403 nt
Filed under: bacterium
Lineage: Bacteria
Description: partial 16S ribosomal RNA
Rfam family: Bacterial small subunit ribosomal RNA
Source: RNAcentral